Molecule: unclassified non-coding RNA, 227 nt
Filed under: uncultured fungus
Lineage: Eukaryota; Fungi
Description: sequence contains ITS1, 5.8S rRNA gene
Rfam family: 5.8S ribosomal RNA (bases 179-227)
Source: RNAcentral
UCUCCGUUGGUGAACCAGCGGAGGGAUCAUUACUGAGUGAGGGCCUUCGGGCUCGACCUCCAACCCUUUGUGAACACAACUUGUUGCUUCGGGGGCGACCCUGCCUUUCGGCGCGGCGCCCCCGGAGGCCAUCAAACCCUGCGUAACUAAGUCGUCGGAGUUUAAACAAAUUAAACAAAACUUUCAACAACGGAUCUCUUGGUUCUGGCAUCGAUGAAGAACGCAGC